RNAcentral lists this ribosomal RNA (460 nucleotides) under uncultured bacterium. Its description in RNAcentral is "partial 16S ribosomal RNA". It matches the Rfam family "Bacterial small subunit ribosomal RNA", at positions 338 to 795 of the family's 1533-position model. The record is from RNAcentral.
CCUACGGGUGGCAGCAGUGAGGAAUAUUGGUCAAUGGACGAGAGUCUGAACCAGCCAAGUAGCGUGAAGGAUGACUGCCCUAUGGGUUGUAAACUUCUUUUAUAUGGGAAUAAAACGUUCCACGUGUGGGAUUUUGUAUGUACCAUAUGAAUAAGGAUCGGCUAACUCCGUGCCAGCAGCCGCGGUAAUACGGAGGAUCCGAGCGUUAUCCGGAUUUAUUGGGUUUAAAGGGCGCGUAGGUGGAUUGUUAAGUCAGUUGUGAAAGUUUGCGGCUCAACCGUAAAAUUGCAGUUGAAACUGGCAGUCUUGAGUACAGUAGAGGUGUGCGGAAUGCGUGGUGUAGCGGUGAAAUGCUUAGAUAUCACGAAGAACUCCGAUUGCGAAGGCAGUUCACUGGACUGCAACUGACACUGAGGCUCGAAAGUGUGGGUAUCAAACAGGAUUAGAUACCCCAGUAGUC